Molecule: ribosomal RNA, 450 nt
Filed under: uncultured Glomeromycotina
Lineage: Eukaryota; Fungi; Glomeromycota
Description: SSU rRNA
Rfam family: Eukaryotic small subunit ribosomal RNA
Source: RNAcentral
AGCAGCCGCGGUAAUUCCAGCUCCAAUAGCGUAUAUUAAAGUUGUUGCAGUUAAAAAGCUCGUAGUUGAAUUUCGGGGUUAGUAGGUUGGUCAUGCCUCCGGUAUGUACUGGUCUCACUGAUUCCUCCUUCCUGAUGAGCCGUAAUGCCAUUAAUUUGGUGUUGCGGGGAAUCUGGACUGUUACUUUGAAAAAAUUAGAGUGUUUAAAGCAGGCUAACGCUUGAAUACAUUAGCAUGGAAUAAUGAAAUAGGACGCUCGAUCCUAUUUUGUUGGUUUCUAGGAUUGACGUAAUGAUUAAUAGGGAUAGUUGGGGGCAUUAGUAUUCAAUUGUCAGAGGUGAAAUUCUUGGAUUUAUUGAAGACUAACUACUGCGAAAGCAUUUGCCAAGGAUGUUUUCAUUAAUCAAGAACGAAAGUUAGGGGAUCGAAGACGAUCAGAUACCGUCGUAG